UCAGGAUAUGAUAAUUGGACCUGUUGAUA
Molecule: non-coding RNA, 29 nt
Filed under: Rattus norvegicus (Norway rat)
Lineage: Eukaryota; Metazoa; Chordata; Mammalia; Rodentia; Muridae
Source: RNAcentral